RNAcentral lists this ribosomal RNA (1372 nucleotides) under Potamilus alatus. RNAcentral's name for it is "16S ribosomal RNA". The stretch from base 897 to 1243 matches the Rfam family "Archaeal large subunit ribosomal RNA", at positions 2150 to 2716 of the family's 2987-position model. The record is from RNAcentral. Lineage: Eukaryota; Metazoa; Mollusca; Bivalvia; Unionida; Unionidae.
GCUCUUUAUACGGGCCACCCCCUUUGUACGCCCCAAUAGAUCAAGUAUCCCAUACGUCCCUAAAAAAAAUUUUUUAUACCUCAUAGUAUCUUACAAAACUUUCACAAACCAAACACAACCGCAAGGACCACCAACCUUUGCCCACCAUAGAAAAGAUAACAACUUAUCCCUCUUGCAUCAUGGAGGAGCAACAAAACCGUAAAAUUAUACUACUCCCGAAUAACUAUGAGCUACUAAAUUCUAAAACUUAAUGUCUCACAAUUAAAAGACUAGUCUUUAAUAGAAGUAACAAGCCUUCCACAUAGUUAGAUAGCUGGUUUUCCGCAAAAAGUAUCAAAGUACUGUCCCAUAGUAGCCUUAAAUCUAACCAAACUAUUGGAGUCAACCUUUUAAGGACUAGCCUAAAAGGACAACUAAAAUAACUUUCACACCACACCUUUAAUGUAGACUUAAAAGCAGCCACCAAAACAGCGUUCUAGCUAAUAAAUUCCCCGCAUACACAAAUAUAAAAACAAAAUUUUAACUAAAGCGAAAUCUAGUACAAAACACUUUUACUAACAAACAGGCAUCCUAUUAGUAUUACAACAACAAUAUAAAUACUAAAAAUAUUAAUAAAUUUAGUACAACAAAUUAAUUUUCUUAUUAAAACCAUACAGAGCGAACUCGGCAACAAAUCUCCCCUGCCUGUUUACCAAAAACAUCGUCUUUUGUUAAUUUAUAUAAAAGAUAAUGCCUGCCCAGUGAAACUUCUUUUAAACGGCCGCGUUAGCGUGAGCGUGCUAAGGUAGCGUAAUAAAUAGCCUCUUAAUUCGAGGCCAGUGAAUGGCAAGACUAGGGACAUCUGUGCCCUGUAUAGAAAAAUAACUUUUCAUCUGAGUGAAAAGACCCAGAUAAUAAAGGAAGACGAAAAGACCCCGCGGAACUUUACCUUUUCCAGUCUCCACAUGCUCAAAAACACAAAAACAAAAGGUUUGAUUGGGGCAAUCUCGGAACCACCCAAACUUCCGACCUAUCACCAAAAUAUGUAUAUAUAACUUGAUACGGACCAAAAAGAAGUUACCCCGGGGAUAACAGCGUAAUCCAACUUGAGAGUACACAUCGAAAGUUGGGUUUGCGACCUCGAUGUUGGCUUAAGGACAUCCACAUAAGUGCAACCGCUAUGACAGGAUAGUCUGUUCGACUAUUACACCCUUACACGAGCUGAGUUAAGACCGGCGCAAGCUAGGUUGGUUUCUAUCUCCUUAAUUUAAACAACUUUCUUGAUUGUACGAAAGGACCCCAAGAAAUGCAACAAAUAAUAAGCAUUCAUUCCUAAACAACCAUUAAUUCCUACCUAGAUUUUAUUUAAUUAGCCAGCAAGUUAGUAUAACAA